Molecule: ribosomal RNA, 857 nt
Filed under: uncultured bacterium
Lineage: Bacteria
Description: bacterial SSU rRNA
Rfam family: Bacterial small subunit ribosomal RNA
Source: RNAcentral
UCAGGAAAGUNUGGAGUAAAAGGCUAUGGCUCAACCAUAGUGUGCUCUGGAAACUNUCUGACUUGAGUGCAGAAGGGGAGAGUGGAAUUCCAUGUGUAGCGGUGAAAUGCGUAGAUAUAUGGAGGAACACCAGUGGCGAAAGCGGCUCUCUGGUCUGUCACUGACGCUGAGGCUCGAAAGCGUGGGUAGCGAACAGGAUUAGAUACCCUGGUAGUCCACGCCGUAAACGAUGAGUGCUAGGUGUUAGGCCCUUUCCGGGGCUUAGUGCCGGAGCUAACGCAAUAAGCACUCCGCCUGGGGAGUACGACCGCAAGGUUGAAACUCAAAGGAAUUGACGGGGGCCCGCACAAGCGGUGGAGCAUGUGGUUUAAUUCGAAGCAACGCGAAGAACCUUACCAGGUCUUGACAUCCCGAUGCUAUUCUUAGAGAUAGGAAGUUACUUCGGUACAUCGGAGACAGGUGGUGCGUGGUUGUCGUCAGCUCGUGUCGUGAGAUGUUGGGUUAAGUCCCGCAACGAGCGCAACCCUUAUUGUUAGUUGCCAUCAUUAAGUUGGGCACUCUAGCGAGACUGCCGGUAAUAAACCGGAGGAAGGUGGGGAUGACGUCAAAUCAUCAUGCCCCUUAUGACCUGGGCUACACACGUGCUACAAUGGUCGGUACAACGAGUUGCGAGCCGGUGACGGCAAGCUAAUCUCUGAAAGCCGAUCUCAGUUCGGAUUGGAGGCUGCAACUCGCCUCCAUGAAGUCGGAAUCGCUAGUAAUCGCGGAUCAGCACGCCGCGGUGAAUACGUUCCCGGGCCUUGUACACACCGCCCGUCACACCACGAGAGUUUGUAACACCCGAAGUCGNUGAGGUA